GAUGAACGUUGGCGGCGUGCCUAACACAUGCAAGUCGAACGAACUCGAUUCUUCGGAUGAAGAGUUAGUGGCGCACGGGUGAGUAACACGUAGGUGACCUGCCCCGAAGCGGGGGAUAACCACUAGAAAUGGUGGCUAAUACCGCAUGUGCUUAACCAUUCGUUUGGUUAAGUAAAACUUUGGUGCUUCGGGAGGGGCCUGCGGUCGAUUAGCUAGUUGGUGAGGUAAUGGCUCACCAAGGCGAUAAUCGAUAGGGGGCGUGAGAGCGUGACCCCCCACACUGGAACUGAGACACGGUCCAGACUCCUACGGGAGGCAGCAGUGAGGAAUAUUGCCCAAUGGACGAAAGUCUGAGGCAGCAACGCCGCGUGGGGGAUGAAGGCCUUCGGGUCGUAAACCCCUUUUCUGUGGGAAGAGAAAGGACGGUACCACAGGAAUAAGUCUCGGCUAACUACGUGCCAGCAGCCGCGGUAAAACGUAGGAGGCGAACGUUAUCCGGAAUUACUGGGCGUAAAGCGCGCGCAGGCGGCUGAAUAAGUCUGACGUGAAAGCUCCUGGCUUAACUGGGAGAGGUCGUUGGAAACUGUUCAGCUUGAGGCAGUGAGAGGGGUGCAGAAUUCCCGGUGUAGUGGUGGAAUGCGUAGAUAUCGGGAGGAAUACCAGUGGCGAAAGCGGCACCCUGGCACUGAACUGACGCUCAUGUGCGAAAGCGUGGGUAGCGAACGGGAUUAGAUACCCCGGUAGUCCACGCUGUAAACGAUGAGUACUAGGUGUAGGCGG
This 780-nucleotide ribosomal RNA is filed under the name uncultured bacterium. RNAcentral describes it as "bacterial SSU rRNA". It matches the Rfam family "Bacterial small subunit ribosomal RNA", at positions 28 to 829 of the family's 1533-position model. The record is from RNAcentral.